GGUGCGCAGGCGCGCUGUCGCCCGGCCGGUAGCUAAGGAGGCCCAGCUGUGAUCCCGAGGCUUUGUAGGCGCCGCAGCCCUGGCCCUCUAGAGGCCGACGGAGGAGUGCGGGGGAAGUUAGCUUGCGCCUGUCUCGUCAGCCGUGCACGAGAAAAAAAAGGACCUUCGAGAAGAACAAGGGAGGGCAAGAGUUACCGAGUACAGGGACAUCUAUGUGGCCGCUCUGCUUUCCCGCCGUCACCUGCUGUUGAACUCCGGCCGCAUCGCGGUGUCCGGAGCCGCCUGGCCUGGAGUAUGCGCUGAGCGUCACCUAGGCAACCACCCCUGCACCUGUGGAUCAGGGUCUCGCUCUGUUGCCAAGGGUAGAAUGCAGUGUCGGGAUCAUAGCUCACUACAGACUUGACAUCCUGGACUCAAGAGAUCCUCCUGUGUCAGCCUCCCGAGUAGCUGGGACCACUGGCGCGCGACAAAUAAUUUGAAAGUGGGAGGAGGGGAACAGAACCACAUCAAAUGGCAGAUAUCAUAGAAUGAGAACUGAAUAUACGCGUUUUGUGGGAAACGCGUUCUUUUCCCCUUUCUCUAAGAUUCGCUUUUAAUUCACUAGCCACUAACCAGUUACCUAUCUCAUUACAGAUAUAAAAAACAAAA
This 648-nucleotide long non-coding RNA is filed under the name Homo sapiens (human). Its description in RNAcentral is "non-protein coding lnc-C2CD4A-1:1". Lineage: Eukaryota; Metazoa; Chordata; Mammalia; Primates; Hominidae. The record is from RNAcentral.